CAAACGCGUAUAUUAAAAAGUGUUGCGGUUAAGCUCGUAGUUGGAUUUCUGCUGAGGACGAUCGGUCGGCCCAUUGGGUGAGUAUCUUGCUCGGCCUUGGCAUCUUCUUGGAGAACGUUGUUGUGCUUGAUUGUGCGGUUCGGUAACCAGGACUUUUACUUUGAGGGAAUUAAAGUUUUUCAAGCAGGCGCGCGCCUUGAAUACAUCAGCGUGGAAUAAUGAGAUAGGACUUUGGUUCUAUUUGGUUGAUUCUUGGGCUGAGGUCAUGAUUACUAGGGAUAGUUGGGGGCGUUCGUAUUUAAUUGUCAAAGGUGAAGUUCUUGGAUUCGUUGAAGGCGGAGUAAAGCGAACGUAUUUGCCAAUGGUGCUUUAAUUGA
Molecule: ribosomal RNA, 377 nt
Filed under: uncultured eukaryote
Lineage: Eukaryota
Description: partial 18S ribosomal RNA
Rfam family: Eukaryotic small subunit ribosomal RNA
Source: RNAcentral